GCUCAGAUUGAACGCUAGCGGGAUGCCUUACACAUGCAAGUCGAACGGCAGCACGGACUUCGGUCUGGUGGCGAGUGGCGAACGGGUGAGUAAUGUAUCGGAACGUGCCUAGUAGCGGGGGAUAACUACGCGAAAGCGUAGCUAAUACCGCAUACGCCCUACGGGGGAAAGCAGGGGAUCGUAAGACCUUGCACUAUUAGAGCGGCCGAUAUCGGAUUAGCUAGUUGGUGGGGUAAUGGCUCACCAAGGCGACGAUCCGUAGCUGGUUUGAGAGGACGACCAGCCACACUGGGACUGAGACACGGCCCAGACUCCUACGGGAGGCAGCAGUGGGGAAUUUUGGACAAUGGGGGAAACCCUGAUCCAGCCAUCCCGCGUGUGCGAUGAAGGCCUUCGGGUUGUAAAGCACUUUUGGCAGGAAAGAAACGCCGCGGGUUAAUACCCUGCGGAACUGACGGUACCUGCAGAAUAAGCACCGGCUAACUACGUGCCAGCAGCCGCGGUAAUACGUAGGGUGCAAGCGUUAAUCGGAAUUACUGGGCGUAAAGCGUGCGCAGGCGGUUCGGAAAGAAAGAUGUGAAAUCCCAGAGCUUAACUUUGGAACUGCAUUUUUAACUACCGAGCUAGAGUGUGUCAGAGGGAGGUGGAAAUUCCGCGUGUAGCAGUGAAAUGCGUAGAUAUGCGGAGGAACACCGAUGGCGAAGGCAGCCUCCUGGGAUA
RNAcentral lists this ribosomal RNA (720 nucleotides) under Achromobacter sp. 110609_136_C_A4. RNAcentral describes it as "bacterial SSU rRNA". It matches the Rfam family "Bacterial small subunit ribosomal RNA", at positions 22 to 736 of the family's 1533-position model. The record is from RNAcentral. Lineage: Bacteria; Pseudomonadati; Pseudomonadota; Betaproteobacteria; Burkholderiales; Alcaligenaceae.